This 929-nucleotide small RNA is filed under the name Pan troglodytes (chimpanzee). RNAcentral's name for it is "retained intron". Lineage: Eukaryota; Metazoa; Chordata; Mammalia; Primates; Hominidae. The record is from RNAcentral.
GUACUCCCUGCUGCCCAGUCCCGGCCAGGACGCUGCCCGGCUUAGCUGGGGCGCCCCUCGAGACCAGGAUGGAGGGUUCAGCCGACUCCUACACCAGCCGCCCAUCUCUGGACUCAGACGUCUCCCUGGAGGAGGACCGGGAGAGUGCCCGGCGUGAAGUAGAGAGCCAGGCUCAGCAGCAGCUCGAAAGGGCCAAGCACAAACCUGUGGCAUUUGCGGUGAGGACCAAUGUCAGCUACUGUGGCGUACUGGAUGAGGAGUGCCCAGUCCAGGGCUCUGGAGUCAACUUUGAGGCCAAAGAUUUUCUGCACAUUAAAGAGAAGUACAGCAAUGACUGGUGGAUCGGGCGGCUAGUGAAAGAGGGCGGGGACAUCGCCUUCAUCCCCAGCCCCCAGCGCCUGGAGAGCAUCCGGCUCAAACAGGAGCAGAAGGCCAGGAGAUCUGGGAACCCUUCCAGCCUGAGUGACAUUGGCAACCGACGCUCCCCUCCGCCAUCUCUAGGUAGCCUCCCCCCAACCCACCCAUUUUGGGUAGGUGGGUAGCUAAGACACAGGGAAAGAGGGGAUCCUGCCCAAGUGAACUGUGUGGGAAGGGUUUGUGGAGGGAUCGGAAGGGGUGGGGAGAAGCCAGUAUCUCCCCUGGGGACGGGGAUACCAUGCCCCCAGGGACCUUUCCCCCUUCACCAACUUUAAUCUUGUAUUUCCUUUUCCAAAAAGCCAAGCAGAAGCAAAAGCAGGUGAGUCAAGGAAGGGACCUGGGCUGGGGGGAUCAUGGCUUAUGGCUCUGGGGACAGUGUUCUAGGCAGUCAUUGUUGGAGGGCAGAACAGAGAGGGGAGGGAGCCCAGAACCUCUGGAUCUGCCCUGACGCCAACCAGGCAUGAGACAGGCACCAGGGCCAUGGUUUCUACUGACCUCAUGUCCAUUCUGCA